Dicentrarchus labrax (European seabass) is the source of this 9617-nucleotide long non-coding RNA. RefSeq lists it as uncharacterized. NCBI's taxonomy places the organism in Eukaryota, Metazoa, Chordata, Actinopteri, Moronidae. The transcript has 3 exons. The record is from RefSeq and is a predicted model, not a curated record.
AACUUGACACAUUUGUUUUCAGCUGAAAGGCACUGAAAUACCAUUCCUGCUGUAUUUCCUGUGUUUGUUUUUUUUAUUGUAUGACAGUUGAUUCAGUAAUUCCCCAGUGGUCUUUUUCGUUUUUUUUUUUGCUCAUUAGAUUAUCUUUACACUUAAUAAAAAAAACUCUGGGGCCAUGCUGUGUAUUAAUAUCUACACUUCUUACUUGAGUUUAGCGAAGACAAUGACAUCGCUGAAGAGGAACAGGUGCCUGUCCUUGGUCUUUGAGCCCUCGGUGACCUGAACACACUCGUCCAGCAGCAGCUCUCCGUUCUCACUGGUGAGGCCGAGGACGAACGGACUCUGCUCCACGGAGACCCAGCAGGAAGCCUCCUCCCUGAGCGGGAGGACAACACAGAAAGAGGUGUGAAAGUGGAAACACGAGCAAUGAUACUGUGCAAGAACUCAAAAGCCAGAUGCUGUUGCUGUUGUGCUUUUAAUGGCUGAAUGACAGCAGCAAAUUCAUGAAGAGCAACCUGAAGAAACCCAGCGUUUGUUUGGUAAAACAAACAUUAUCUGAUCCCACUGAGAGCGCGGAAUCACAUUUUAAUUUGAAGAAAAAUGUCAGAGCUGUCAUCAGCUGCCCUAAUGGAUCAAUAUCAAGUCAAUAACCCGGUAUGAUUUCAUUUUAGGCAUCACAGAUGAGCACACGAGUAUCGACUAACUUAAGCUUGUUUAUUUGUUCAGCUGAAGUGAAUAGGGAAGAAGUUCUUCCUGGAAUUAAGUUUUGAACUGUGACUUUAAACAGUGGCUUUAGCUGCAGUUCUAGGUUUUUGUUGGGGGGAUUACUUCUCAUCUCACUUGAUAUUUAAUAAUAAUCAUAAAAUAAUCUCUAAUAAAACAACUGACAAUCAAGGUGUACACAAGAAGUAAGAGUUGUUUGUUCUAAAUCAUAAUGAAACCAAUUUUGGUCAUCGCUCUUCCCACUGACUCUGAGUUCAGGGGCAGAAAUUCAAAUCAUUGCAGCCGAGGUACUUUCCCUGUUACCCUUCUGGCCUACUAAAGAUGACACAUAAAAUACUGGCAAAUAAAACAGUGGGAGAACUAUAACCUCCGCAACAGGUGAUUAUGUGUGAACGCAAACAACAGAACAACAGAAAACAAUAAUUAAAGUAGUUAUGAGAGCUCAUAAAGGCGAACCACAGCUACCUAACUGCUGUUACACGUUAAAGUAAUGGUUCAACAUAUUGGAAAAUACACUCAUUCACUUUAUUGUCAAAUGUUAGAUGAGAAGAUCAAUAGCUUUCCACUCGUGUAUUUUUCCAUCAGCAACAAGCUAGAUGGUUAACGUUACCUUACCAGCUAGCCCCGCUCUGUUCAGAGCAUUGACAGUCAAUAUAUGUUAAUGGUUUGUGUGUCUGGGACAUAACCAACUGGUUGUUUUUACACUUUGGAAAGAUCUUAUUUAACUCUCUGCAAGAAAACAAAUAUGAAAAGUGUAUAUCUAAAAAUAUUACUUAAUUAGAACUUUUCCUUGAAUGUAGAAUGAUGUUAUAAUGACUAUAAUGUAAAUUAUUAAUGAACACUGUGUUGUAAACGGUCUCAAAGAGGUUUUCACUGCACUAAGUUACAUCAUUCAUAUGAAAGUACCAAUACUUUGUUACAGAUAUCAGAUAUCUGUACUUUCUACUUUCUCACAGGCUCGUUACUUUAGAUUUAAUGUAUCUGAGGGUAAUUAUUGAUUAUUAGUUUUACUUUCCAAACAUCAGGACAGACGUAACAUGACGACGACAACAUAAAAGGGACGUAAAAGAUGAAACAGACGAGAGAGGCAGACUCAACCCUGUUUGAAGUUUCAGACUGAAAGAACCAGAAGAAGAGAAGUAAAGAACCCGCCCACUGGAGACUCUGGUGGUCGCUGUGUGACGACUGCAACAACAACUUUGAAAGGUUGAAGGGUUAAACGUCAGAUAUUCAAGAGGAGGUGAUGAAGAAUCUGGCCAGACAAAUGACAGACUGUAGGUGUGUAAUGACAUUAUAGAGCUUUAUUAGACUUUUGGAGAAAGGAUUUACCUUUAUAUUUAUUUAUUCAUUAUAAAUAAAUUCAUGAUCAGACCACUAAACCAUUGCUUAAGCAUAUAAAUAUUUCUCUCUCUCUCUCUAUAUAUAUAUAUAUAUAUAUAUAGAAAGGUGCUGAGAUCAUGAGUCUGUGUUUCCUCCACUGCUGGCUAUACAUAAUUUAUUUAGUUAUUCUGACUUUUCUGCUGUUUUAUUAUUUAUUUUAUUAUUAUUACUUGGAGAUGGAGAUUUAAAACUUUCUCGCCACUGCUCGGAAAUCCGUUCUGAUGCCAAAAUGAAUGUUUUACCUUUUUAUUUAUUGAUUGCCCCACAAUUACUCAAUAGUAGUAUAAUGAAUUUAAUCAGCCAGUAAAAAUACAGAUUAAGUGGUUUGAUUGUAGGUCAAUUUAAGUCUCCAGACCUCCAGAGGAACUGACCUCUGUUCUCAUCCUGAAUGAAAAAACACAGAAAACUCAUUGAAGGCAACUUUCUAUAGUGACUGAGACUGCAUAUGAUCACAAGGGGCCAUAAAGUAAAAUAUAUUGAUUUAAAUAUGGUCUAGUUUCCAAAACAACAUUGGGCUACUGUUUCAAAAUGAAAGCAUACAUUAUUAAGGGUCACUGGCAGAGCGUUACUUACUUAUGUUUUGAAUUUAUGUAAAUCAGCAGGUGAGGAGAGGUAACAGCUGACUGUCCAUUCACUUCCCUGUCGUUUCCUGUCUGUCUGUAGAUUUUCUACGGCGGGGCAAUUGUAGCCCGGGAAAAGCAAGCAGGCCUGACACCCAUUAGUUGUUUCAUUGGACAUUUCACAGUAUUGUGCACACUGUCUGGCAUAAGUAUGACCCAGUUAGUGUUUGACUAAUGUGUUUAAUAUAACUGACAAAAGUGCUACUAAAUUUACAGCACAGUAACCUCUGAAGGGGUUCCCAACAAGGAGGUAGGACUUCCCGUGAGGUAUAGAGCUAAAUAUAAAGGUAAAAUGUAAAAUUGUGCUGCUGCAACAGCUGAACAUGUGUGUGUGAAUGUAGCCCUGUGCCAUACUGCUUUCAUGUAUAGUUUGAUACUGAAUGUAGAUAUAGGAUCUGUUAUCGUUGUGUAAUACUGAGGGUAACAGGUAAGUAAAUCUCCUUUAUCUAACGACCAAAUACAGUCUGAAAAGGUCAACUUUCCCAUAGUAGAGGAACUGAAAAAGAAGACGGCUCAAUCACAACCAAACAGACUGGCCCUCAGAACCCAGAGUAGGUGUGAGUGAGGUUUAAAGAGUUUGAGCUAGUUGCCGUUUCAAAACCCCACUCUGUAAAUCCCCCACAGGGACAUCUGUGUCUGUGGCCGGCACACAGCAGGCUGAUAUCGCAACACUGUUCAACACGUGGUCGCAUCAUAGUGGAAAUAGUUUUCUCUUUCUUUAUUCUGUACAACGACUGCUCCUCUGUGAUGAGAUGAUUCAAGUUUGUGUUUAUAUGUGCUGCCACCUGUAGGUUGGAGGCUGCAGUAAAUAGGAGAUAAGAACCUGAAGGUUUUACAUUAAAAUGUUAUUUGAUAUAAUCUAAUUUGUUAAUAAGUAGUAAAAGUAGUGACUUCAUGAAUAUGUAACCCUGAAUUGUUGAUGGAGAGCAUUUCUUCUGUCUCUCUAAAAUGUGUCCUUUCUUUGAAUCUGGGCUGCAACUAAUGAUUAUUUUCAUUCUUAAUUAUUCUGUUAAUUAUUUCCGCAAUUCCUGGAUUAAUUGUUAGGUAAAUAAAAUGUCAGGAAAUAGUGAAAAGUGGCCGUUACGAUCUCUUUAAGCCUGAGGUGACGUCUUCAAAUGUCUUGUUUUCUCCAGCAAAACAGUUCAAAGAUGUUCAACUUACUAUAACUUAACACACAGAAAGACAACCGAUGAUCACAGUUUAGAAGCUGCAACCAGUCGUUGAUGGUUACCUAAAUAAUAAACUGAUUGUGUUAAUACCCCUAACCCUGUGUACUCCUAACCCUGUGUAUCCCUAAUCCUGUGUACCCCUAACCCUGUGUACCCCUAACCCUGUGUAUCCCUAACCCUGUGUACCCCUAACCUUGUAUACCUCUAACCCUGUGUAUCCCUAACAUUUAAUGUUUGUGAACCUUAUAUCUGAUCAAAGAAUAAGUAAACAAGCACCCAAUGCAACUUUCAGUACUUGUCAAUUGUUGUUUUAAGUGAACAUAUAGUUGUGAAAGAUUUAAACAAUGCCCGACCGUCAUUGUAUAUAUCAUAUUAUAUUUUUAUGUUCCUUAUAUUGUACUUUUCAUUCCACCUGAUCUUCGUAACUUACUGUCAAAUACUUCACCACAUCGGGACAAAAAGAAACACAAAAUUCAUCAUAACAGACAAAAAAACCCACUGUAAGCACCUGUUUUCUUAUUUUGACAUUUACUACGUGCGUCAACACCUACUGCGGGUUAAAGCUGUCAGGUAAUCAGGUUCACAGGUUAGCAGCAGUUGUGGUGACAGCUGCAUACACAAGGUGAAACAACAUGCAGCCACGAGGGUAAAUUGUUGUUUAUGUUACAUCACUGACAUUGCGUCAUCUCGGGGACACUUUGACCUUUCUGAUGUUUCCUUCCAAAGCUCAAAAAUCUGGUUUCACUUGAGACUUUUUUUCAAAAUAAUUGAAUGCUCUUUAUAAUCUUAUUUCAUGUUUCCUCCCUCUCUCUUCUGUUUUGCUGCCUUCACUUCUUGUCUUCAUCCCUCGUGUCACGUGUUUGUUUGUGUUGACUGCAGUGUUGUUUUAUGGAAAUUAAUCGGUUCUGUUCUAAUAAAGUUAUCGAAGUUAGUUAUUGUUAGGCACUGGCCUCACGUCAGAUCGAUCAAUAAACUAAUCCCUGACAAAAAUCUGACAUAUAGGCGGCAGUCCAAAUUGCUUCAGGAAAUAAGAUGUGAGUGGGGAAAAAAAACACUUUUCCACCCUCACAACUACUGAUGAGAUACCCAAACAAUUCCCAAUAAACUGCUCAGUCGUCAACAGCAGACAAUUGGAAAAUAUGGACACUCUCUGAUAGGACUGUAUGAAUAAGGAAUUACAGAAAAUUGACGUAUGUUCACAAAAUGGAUGGAAAAAAGGGUUUAAAACAAAGGAUGUACACACCUGAUUGGAGACCAUGUCCCCAACGCCUUCCCAAAGACCAGUGAUGGAGCAGAGCGCCGCCUAUGAGCCAAGUGUCUGAGGUGCUGUAAGAAAACAGAAGUGAAAACAAUAUAUAUUUAUAACCCCUUUCAUUUAUUUAUUGAUUGUUCAACGUGUGUCAUUUUAUGUUUUAAACCACGCAACAUACCACGCUGUCAUUUUCACACUUGCUUUCAUACUUUGUAUUAGUUGUAAAUUAGCAGCUGUGAUGUGUGUGGAGCAACUACAGCAUCCCAAAACCUGUCAGACUCUGAUUAUGUAGCAUCUGUUUGUCAAACAUCUGUCAACACUAUACAAUACACUGCCCAGCACUACUAGUACUGUACAGUUCACAUACAUAUUUAGAUAUACAUAUAUAGAUUUUUUUGUUAACGAUAUAAAUAUAUUGUUCUGUGCAAUUAUUUAUUUUUACACCAUGCCACUACCUCCAGCUGUAACCUGUGCAACCUUUCAUAUCAAUCACAUCUGUAGUAGUUAUUGACUCUUAUUCUUAUUUUUUUUAUCAUAUCUUGUUUAUUAUUUUUUAGUUAAUGUGUACUUUUCUAAUCUGUUGUAUCUGGAGCUGCUGUAUCAAGUGAAUUUCUCCAGUGUGGCAUUAAUAAUCUUAUCUUAUGAUACUUUUAAAGGUGUAUAAUUUCACAGUACACAUAAGGCUCCAUGAAGCCUCACACUGACACCAAUCUAACGCAGCUGGUUUUUCCAGACCACAAACAUUGUUUGAAGACUCGAAUUAGGACAUAAUGGGAAAAAAAUAAUGAAGGACUUCUAUUACUAUUAUUAUUAUUGUGUAUGCACAGAACUGCAUUCUUAUUGUUUUGGUCCUCAGAUCCUUACAACCCAGGUUUACGCUAUCAAUGAAGGGCCUCUUUACCUCCAGCACGGUGCACGGUCUUUUUAAAGACCCUUUGUGUGUUGUUUGUCUAAGUAAUGGGAGCAGCAAAUGAAGAGGGGUUUCAAUCAGGGGGGAACCAACAACAACAGUGCAGAUGGUUUACUGUGAUGUUCCCAUCAGACUCACUCUAACAAAGACACAAUUAACAGUGUGACUGAGGCCUGUUUGAGUUAUUUUUGAACAGCAAAGAUGAGUAAAUAUUCAAAAAUAGAAGGAACCACCAGUGGAGCUAAAUAUGAGUUAAAAUACGAUUAAAACCCUUCCUUAAAAUACCAAAACCCUCAGACUGAAAUUAGUCACUACAGCGUCUUCAAAAGCAAAAUUCCCCCUUUAAAAAUAGUUCGUAGAGGAGGCACCCUGAGCAUCUGGACAUAGUUUGAUUGCAGAGGGAAACUAAAGACGCUGUCGGUGGUGGAUGUGCACUACAGCCAUAACAGAUAAUGAGGUUUUAGAAGUCAGAAAAAAUAGAUCCCGGCGUCGGCUCGCUUCAUUUACAGAAACAGAUUGCCUGUGAGGACAGACGGGACACCAUCACGGGAAAGAUCUUGCUGAAGCCACUCGCCCGUAACAGCAACAUACUGUCCAACCAGCCUGAGAUUAUGAAUGCCUCAAUGUGCAUCUGCUCUUGAUCACUUAUCUAUGAACUCGCCUCAUCUAUUAGUGAUUGACAGCAGAUUACGUGUUGCCUAGCAGCAACAGCAAGGUCUUCAAACUGCAAAAUAUUUUUAAAAAAAGCUUUUCUUCGAUCAGACCUUUAGAUAGAGCCGUAUAUCAAAUAGAAAUUUAAUUAAGGCUUACAUCCACUCUGAAAGUAGUGUGAAAAUGGUUGAGAGCUCUGUUCUAGGUCUGUCCUUGGUUAUUUGAAGGUUUAUAUGUGAGAGCACAAAAUAGUCGUAUGGACCCACUUGAUGUUUCUGGGUUCGAACAGAUUCUAAUUUGACAACAAUAUCAUAUUUAAUGUGUGUUUAAUUACAGGUUUGUUGCCUUUUGUUAUUUAUACCAAAGCUCUUUCUUGCAAGGUGAAUAAAUAAAUUAGUUUUGAUAAGAAUUUCUUAAUUAAGACUUCUGAUCAUAUGAUAGCAGCCAAACGUUUGAUCAUUCAGCAGGUAAAAGUUAAGUCAUACAACAUGUACAAUAAAACACAUUAAAACAUAUUUUUUUCCAGCUUUUUGCAGCUGAAGAUAAGACAGGGAGGAGAAAGAGAGAAAGAGAGAGGACAACAUGCAGCAAAAGACCACAGAAAUCAAACCAAGUCCACUACGGUACAUGGGACGCUAUACGUUUAGCAGGUUCCCCAUCUGAGUUUAUUGUGUAGCUUGCCAACAUUUGAUAAUUAACACUCAACACAAAGCACAGCCGAGGCCGAUGGGAAUGUCCUGAGUUUGGAAGGUAGUUCAUAAACAAAAGUAUUGUUAGUAAGUUAAAAGUUUGACCUGAUGAUGGUGAUACAUGAAAAGUCACGUGAGUUAUAACAGUUCAUCCUGAGUGGGACAUGAAUGUGCCAAAAUAUAUGGAAAUCCAUCUAAUAAUUGUUUAGAUAUUUCAGUCUGGGCUGCACAGCUCGCACUGGCUGAACCCAGCUUUUUCUUUUAUCACUGCUAACCUUUAUUAAUGUUCCCAGCAGGAACAGUCCUACAUACACACAUUAACUGUUUUGUCAAUUUGGGUGAGAGACAACAAACAGAUUCUCCGUCUUGUUGUGGCUGCUCUCGUGCUCUAAUUGCUGGACAAACUGAGAAACUGGGCUCAGCAGAAUCGAACACAAAGAGAAAAACAGCGAAACAAAACAAACAAAAGCAGGAACACUACACAAAGCAUCUCAUUCUGGCCCCUGUCUCUGCAGUCGCUUCCACGCUGGCACACAAAGUCUACUGACUCGUGAUGGUCCAGGACCGGGACACAAAGGACCAGGUUGAUCUAUCAGUCCAGGAUACAGGUGCUUCACUGUCAAUUACAGAAUGGGUGUGUAUAUUCAGUACCAGUACGCUGUUGAUAUAAAGGUCAGUUUAUUCUGUCAUGUAGUUUUCUCUGUCCUGUGUGACAACAAAGUUUAAAGCAGCAACAAGAAACUUUCAUUUUGUGUUGAUUGUGGCGCCCCCUGUGGACAGAAACGGUAGUGUUUCCACUGUAUGUCAUGUGGAGGUAUCAGUAUUAAACUGAGACUGUUUCAUAACCAGUCAAAAUCUCUUUUUUUAGUGGUUUUCACAGAAUGAAUGUGUAAGUAUGUUCACUAUCUUCCAUGUUUGAUAUACUGAUACUGAAUUUCAUUCACUGUAUCCACCAACUCUUGAGGGAAAAUAUCAGACUCUUGAUAAAUGUUUCAUUAUAGCCAUCAGCUAGUUGCUUAUUGUCUGCAGAGACUCUCUCUCUGUACAUCUGAUGGGACUGCAGCGUCGGGUGAUAAUUCUCUGUGGGACGUCACUACGAGCAACAGCUUUCACAUUACACAGUGAUUUCAGCUAUUGUUACUGAAAAUAUUGAUGGUAGCAGCUUUAAUGCAGCGGGAUGUGCAUUAAAACCUCAUUAACACUUGACAAAAAACAUUAGUUGAUUUUUAAAAGCCUAAUUACCAAACAAGUCUUCAUAACUAGUGAAUAGGUUAUUUGUCAAUGCCUGGUUUCCACAAUAACCCAGUGGGCACCAAUUAACUGGGUGAUUGUUUGUCAGAACAAAACUGCCAAUAUAACCAUUAAGAAAAGGGAUACACAUGACAGUUUUCUGCCCUGCUAUCCGUCUGGUUAAUGUUGGGUUAGGUUAGACUGAAACUACUUGAUGGGAGACGUGGUUUCCGUCCUCACUCACUUCCAGGUCCAUAAUUAUAAAUUCAGGCAUGUGUUUCCUGUAUCAGAGCUAACUGGCUCCAAGACAUUUAGAGGUCACAGUUCACCAGCAUCACUCUUGCAAAGUGUUCAAAUUUUUUUUAUUAUUAUUACCCAUAUCAUAACAUAAGUGGAAUAAAUACUGUCCAAGGUGGUGAUACGUUUGUAUUUGUCAAAGAUACGGGCAGCAUGCAGAUUAUAGACUGGUUAUUUGACUGAUUUUAUUUUUAUAUGAUAUUAUAUGAAGAUCCAUAAACCUAUAUAUCAUUGGAUCUUUACAGAUAGCCGGUGGAUCUAGAGAAAUAUUCAUCGAGUGACAACAGGGUGGCAGAAAUAUAUGCUGAUUUAAUCACAAGAAAUAUCAAAAUUUGCCUGGAAUUAUUAUUUCUGGCACAUUAGUAAGUAACUGAAUAGAAACACAUCGACCUUUGCUGUAUAUACUGUAUAUAGUGUCAUAUUUACCUGUCUCAUGUACAUAAAGAAACCUGCACGUAAAUAUUUAUUUCAGCAUCCUUUGCACUAUUGUCUACUGUCUACAAAUGUUAUUAUUUUUGUUUGUUAUAUAUGAAUAACUGUACAUAGUAGUUUAUGUCUAUUUUGUUCUGUUUAUUUAUGCUUAGUCUGUGUUUGUACAUUGAGAACAACAUAAAACCGAAUCACAUUCCUUGUAUGUGUGCACCUACCUGGUCAAUAAAAGUGAUUCUGAUAGCUAAAGGUGGCAUUAGAAAUAAA